Molecule: long non-coding RNA, 310 nt
Filed under: Setaria viridis
Lineage: Eukaryota; Viridiplantae; Streptophyta; Magnoliopsida; Poales; Poaceae
Description: long non-coding RNA (SVIR_LNC002891)
Source: RNAcentral
AUCAUAAUGAAUGCUAUGUGGCGCCUUCGGACGCAUCGUCGUUACAAACCAUUGUGGGUACUACUCAACACGGGGACGAAGAUCAGGACAUGAACCCGUUUAGGGAUUGGAUUGCCGAUGAACUGUUCAAUAGAUCGUAGCUUUUUGUAACGAUGACAUUUGUGGAAUGUUGAACAACAUUUGCUUUGAAUAAAAAAAAUGGCUGCUAGCACCGUGGCAGCCAAAAAAAGAAUGGCGAAAAAAAGGGCGCUGUGCACCAGCUCCUGGAUUUGGCGCCAACAGCCUUGAUCUGAUGAUGUUAGGGGUAAAG